GAUGAACGCUGGCGGUGUGCCUAAUACAUGCAAGUCGAGCGAACAGACGAGGAGCUUACUCCUCUGACGUUAGCGGCGGACGGGUGUGUAACACGUGGAUAACCUACCUAUAAGACUGGGAUAACUUCGGGAAACCGGAGCUAAUACCGGAUAACAUGUUGAACCGCAUGGUUCAACAGUGAAAGACGGUCUUGCUGUCACUUAUAGAUGGAUCCGCGUCGCAUUAGCUAGUUGGUAAGGUAACGGCUUACCAAGGCAACGAUGCGUAGCCGACCUGAGAGGGUGAUCGGCCACACUGGAACUGAGACACGGUCCAGACUCCUACGGGAGGCAGCAGUAGGGAAUCUUCCGCAAUGGGCGAAAGCCUGACGGAGCAACGCCGCGUGAGUGAAGAAGGUCUUCGGAUCGUAAAACUCUGUUAUUAGGGAAGAACAAAUGUGUAAGUAACUAUGCACGUCUUGACGGUACCUAAUCAGAAAGCCACGGCUAACUACGUG
RNAcentral lists this ribosomal RNA (497 nucleotides) under uncultured bacterium. RNAcentral describes it as "partial 16S ribosomal RNA". It matches the Rfam family "Bacterial small subunit ribosomal RNA", at positions 28 to 507 of the family's 1533-position model. The record is from RNAcentral.